This 238-nucleotide ribosomal RNA is filed under the name uncultured bacterium. Its description in RNAcentral is "partial 16S ribosomal RNA". It matches the Rfam family "Bacterial small subunit ribosomal RNA", at positions 15 to 236 of the family's 1533-position model. The record is from RNAcentral.
GAUCAUGGCUCAGGAUGAACGCUGGCGGCGUGCCUAACACAUGCAAGUCGAGCGAGAAACUUCUAAAUGAAGCUUCGGUCGAAUUUAAAAGCGGAAAGCGGCGGACGGGUGAGUAACGCGUAGGCAACCUGCCCUUUGCAGAGGGAUAGCAUCUGGAAACGGAUAUUAAUACCUCAUAAUACUAAACUAUCACAUGAUAGAGUAGUCAAAGAUUUAUCGGCAAAGGAUGGGCCUGCGU